UACGGAGGAUGCGAGCGUUAUCCGGAUUUACUGGGUGUAAAGGGAGCGUAGGCGGCUCUGUAAGUCUGAUGUGAAAAUUUGGGGCUCAACCCCAAACGUGCAUUGGAAACUGCAGGGCUUGAGUGCCGGAGAGGCAGGCGGAAUUCCUAGUGUAGCGGUGAAAUGCGUAGAUAUUAGGAGGAACACCAGUGGCGAAGGCGGCCUGCUGGACGGUAACUGACGCUGAGGCUCGAAAGCGUGGGGAGCAAACAGG
Molecule: ribosomal RNA, 253 nt
Filed under: uncultured bacterium
Lineage: Bacteria
Description: partial 16S ribosomal RNA
Rfam family: Bacterial small subunit ribosomal RNA
Source: RNAcentral